RNAcentral lists this transfer RNA (72 nucleotides) under Brachymeles boulengeri boulengeri. Its description in RNAcentral is "tRNA-Xle". Lineage: Eukaryota; Metazoa; Chordata; Lepidosauria; Squamata; Scincidae. The record is from RNAcentral.
GGAAGUAUGCCCGAACGCCAUAAGGAAUACUUUGAUAGAGUACACCACAGGGGUUUAAAUCCCCUUACUUCC